UACGUAGGUGGCAAGCGUUGUCCGGAAUUAUUGGGCGUAAAGCGCGCGCAGGCGGUCCUUUAAGUCUGAUGUGAAAGCCCACGGCUCAACCGUGGAGGGUCAUUGGAAACUGGGGGACUUGAGUGCAGGAGAGAAGAGUGGAAUUCCACGUGUAGCGGUGAAAUGCGUAGAGAUGUGGAGGAACACCAGUGGCGAAGGCGACUCUUUGGUCUGUAACUGACGCUGAGGCACGAAAGCUAGGGGAGCAAACGGG
RNAcentral lists this ribosomal RNA (253 nucleotides) under uncultured bacterium. Its description in RNAcentral is "partial 16S ribosomal RNA". It matches the Rfam family "Bacterial small subunit ribosomal RNA", at positions 524 to 776 of the family's 1533-position model. The record is from RNAcentral.